CCUGACGGNAAGGGACGAAAGCUAGGGGCACGAAACCGGGAUUAGAUACCCGGGUAGUCCUAGCCGUUAAACGAUACUCGCUAGGUUGUNCGGGCCACGAUGCGACAGUUAGUCGCAGGUCGUAGGAGACCNUGAAGGCGAGCCACAUGGGAAGUACGACCGCAAGGCUGAGACUUAAAGGAAUUGGCGGGGGAGCACCACAACGGGUGGAGCUUGCGGUUUAAUUGGAGUCAACGCCGGA
This 241-nucleotide ribosomal RNA is filed under the name uncultured euryarchaeote. RNAcentral's name for it is "partial 16S ribosomal RNA". It matches the Rfam family "Archaeal small subunit ribosomal RNA", at positions 690 to 922 of the family's 1478-position model. Lineage: Archaea; Methanobacteriati; Methanobacteriota. The record is from RNAcentral.